GACGAACGCUUGCGGCGUGCUUAACACAUGCAAGUCGAACGGAAAGGCCCUGCUUUUGUGGGGUGCUCGAGUGGCGAACGGGUGAGUAACACGUGAGUAACCUGCCCUUGACUUUGGGAUAACUUCAGGAAACUGGGGCUAAUACCGGAUAGGAGCUCCUGCUGCAUGGUGGGGGUUGGAAAGUUUCGGCGGUUGGGGAUGGACUCGCGGCUUAUCAGCUUGUUGGUGGGGUAGUGGCUUACCAAGGCUUUGACGGGUAGCCGGCCUGAGAGGGUGACCGGCCACAUUGGGACUGAGAUACGGCCCAGACUCCUACGGGAGGCAGCAGUGGGGAAUAUUGCACAAUGGGCGGAAGCCUGAUGCAGCAACGCCGCGUGCGGGAUGACGGCCUUCGGGUUGUAAACCGCUUUCGCCUGUGACGAAGCGUGAGUGACGGUAAUGGGUAAAGAAGCACCGGCUAACUACGUGCCAGCAGCCGCGGUGAUACGUAGGGUGCGAGCGUUGUCCGGAUUUAUUGGGCGUAAAGGGCUCGUAGGUGGUUGAUCGCGUCGGAAGUGUAAUCUUGGGGCUUAACCCUGAGCGUGCUUUCGAUACGGGUUGACUUGAGGAAGGUAGGGGAGAAUGGAAUUCCUGGUGGAGCGGUGGAAUGCGCAGAUAUCAGGAGGAACACCAGUGGCGAAGGCGGUUCUCUGGGCCUUUCCUGACGCUGAGGAGCGAAAGCGUGGGGAGCGAACAGGCUUAGAUACCCUGGUAGUCCACGCUGUAAACGGUGGGUACUAGGUGUGGGGUCCAUUCCACGGGUUCCGUGCCGUAGCUAGCGCUUUAAGUACCCCGCCUGGGGAGUACGGCCGCAAGGCUAAAACUCAAAGGAAUUGACGGGGCCCCGCACAAGCGGCGGAGCAUGCGGAUUAAUUCGAUGCAACGCGUAGAACCUUACCUGGGUUUGACAUGGAUCGGGAGUGCUCAGAGAUGGGUGUGCCUCUUUUGGGGUCGGUUCACAGGUGGUGCAUGGCUGUCGUCAGCUCGUGUCGUGAGAUGUUGGGUUAAGUCCCGCAACGAGCGCAGCCCUUGUUCACUGUUGCCAGCACGUUAUGGUGGGGACUCAGUGGAGACCGCCGGGGUCAACUCGGAGGAAGGUGGGGAUGACGUCAAGUCAUCAUGCCCCUUAUGUCCAGGGCUUCACGCAUGCUACAAUGGCUGGUACAGAGAGUGGCGAGCCUGUGAGGGUGAGCGAAUCUCGGAAAGCCGGUCUCAGUUCGGAUUGGGGUCUGCAACUCGACCUCAUGAAGUCGGAGUCGCUAGUAAUCGCAGAUCAGCAACGCUGCGGUGAAUACGUUCCCGGG
Molecule: ribosomal RNA, 1343 nt
Filed under: uncultured bacterium
Lineage: Bacteria
Description: 16S ribosomal RNA
Rfam family: Bacterial small subunit ribosomal RNA
Source: RNAcentral